GGGUUGUGAGGUUAAGCGACUAAGCGUACACGGUGGAUGCCCUGGCAGUCAGAGGCGAUGAAGGACGUGCUAAUCUGCGAUAAGCGUCGGUGAGGUGAUAUGAACCGUUAUAACCGGCGAUUUCCGAAUGGGGAAACCCAGUGUGAUUCGUCACACUAUCAUUAACUGAAUCCAUAGGUUAAUGAGGCGAACCGGGGGAACUGAAACAUCUAAGUACCCCGAGGAAAAGAAAUCAACCGAGAUUCCCCCAGUAGCGGCGAGCGAACGGGGAGGAGCCCAGAGCCUGAAUCAGUGUGUGUGUUAGUGGAAGCGUCUGGAAAGGCG
Molecule: ribosomal RNA, 324 nt
Filed under: Escherichia coli
Lineage: Bacteria; Pseudomonadati; Pseudomonadota; Gammaproteobacteria; Enterobacterales; Enterobacteriaceae
Description: partial 23S ribosomal RNA
Rfam family: Bacterial large subunit ribosomal RNA
Source: RNAcentral